This is a long non-coding RNA of Phyllopteryx taeniolatus (common seadragon), 3114 nucleotides long. RefSeq lists it as uncharacterized. Lineage: Eukaryota; Metazoa; Chordata; Actinopteri; Syngnathiformes; Syngnathidae. The transcript has 4 exons. The record is from RefSeq and is a predicted model, not a curated record.
CCUGGACGUGCUGGAAUGUGACAUGUUAGGAGGAGGUACACGGAGCUCCUGUUGGCACUCUACCAUAGACGUUGUUGUCACCUAUGUGAGUGAAACGAAGUAAGAACUGCACGCAGUCCCCGCCAGGGUCCCCGACGCCUGCUCCCCGGGCCCCCGAAGAGGAACCGGCGGCACAAUGUCACACACCUGUUUGGCUGGAGGCUGCGGCCCGGUGACGCUCGCAGCCACGGGUGUCGCGUUGGCACCUUUGCCAACUGAACCACCUCCCCACCACCACCACCCUGCCCCCCCCGUCGCUGCCUGCUACGCCCCGUGGAUGUGUCAAAAUGGCAGAUGAUGGUUGGGGUGUGUGCAGCUGCUUGGGAGGAGGAGUGCCAAGGGCGCUCGUUUCCUGCGGAAACUCUUGGAAGGCAAAAGCAACAUCCUGAGCUGGUGAGGAGACAGCAGAGGUGCUGACACGCCGACAGGCAGGGGAUCCUGGGAAAAGCCACAGACAGGAAGAGCCUGACUGGCUUUGACCCGCCGGGUCAAGGCUGGGGGCUCGGCAAGUGAAAGAUGUUUCCAAGCCACACUCGCGCGAUCAUCCACUUUUUUUUUUUUUACAGGAAACAACUUCCAAAUGCUGUGAAAUAUGCAGGCAGAUCUUUUUCUUUCUUUCUUUUUAUUGCUCGCUCUUUUGUUUGGCUCGCCUGCGACAUGAAAUGCGAUUUGGCCCUGAGCUAUAUUUGACUUAUUUGUUCCAGGGUCACUGUAUGUAAUUGCACAGAGCUUAAGUCCACGUCCCUUUUCUUCCAUGUGAAGAUACUCCUCACCCCCCCUCCCUCCAUUUCACUCUCAACAUCUGCUAUGACUAAUACAGUAAUGCUGUGAAGGCCAAAACGACACCAUACAAAGGUUUAGUAGGGCCACACUCAAAAGUAAAUAUAUAACUAGGAUAGUAAAAUUACAAGGGGAUUCAAAUGUCGUAGUGUCACAAGACUACAUUUUUGUUAUGAAAAAAAAGUCAUGAUGUCAAGAGAAAAAAGUCAUAAUGUUACAACAAUAAAAGGGUCAUAUUACGAGAAAAGAGUCAGUCACGUUACAAAAAUAAACUUUCGAUGUUACAAGAAUGGGGGAAAAAAAAACAUUGUGAGAAUAAAGUAGUAUUGUUAAUAUGAUAAUUGUAAUAUGAGGGAAAAUGUCAUGAGAAAAAAAGUUAAGCUACAAUCAAGUAAUAUCAAGGGGCGAAAGUCAAUGUUAUGAGAAUGAAGAAGAGUCAAAGUCAUGUUACGAUAAUAAAGUAUUGAUGUUAAGAGAAUCAUUUUGAAAUGUUAUGAGUAAAAAGUAAUAUCAAAAAAGUUGCAAUAUCAAGGGAGCAGUAAUUGUACGAGAAUAAAGGAGUCAUUACGAGAAAAGACUCCAGUUAUGCUACGAACAGAAAUGUAACGUUAUGGAAAAAAAGUGAUGAUAAUAUGAGAAUGAGCUUGUAGAAUUCUAAGACUGGAGUUAUAAAAUUGUGGGGGGAAAGAGAAAAAAAAACAAACAAACAUUUUUGCUCAGAAUUUUAAGACUUUAUUCUGUAAAAUGAUGCCUUUCCUUGUAAUAGUCUGACUUUUUCAAUUUCUUGCAACAAUUUUUUUCCCCUCAUCCUGACUCUUACAUAAUUACAACUUUUUAUCUCGUAAAAUUAAGACUUGCCUCGUAAGAUUUCUUUUUCCUACAGUUAUGACUAGUCUGUAAAAUUCUCUUAAUAUUUCCACUUUAUUCUCGCAAUAAUUUUACUUUUAUGUAGUGCUAUGCCUUGAUAUGACAUUAAGGAAUAAAGGUGUGAUGUUACAAGAAAAAAAAAACACAAAAAGAAAACUUACGAGAAUAAAGUCGUAGUUGGAAUAUUAGGAGAUAAGUCAUUAGGCUGUGACUAUACAGUACACUGGUAAGACUAACAAAACCAAAACUUCCUUAAGAGAAAAAAUAUUGCUAAAAAACAAAAGAUGGAAAAAAGAACAAAUUAGAAUGUUACGAGAAUAAAGUCACACUUUUACAAGAAGAAAUAUGAGAAUCUAUAGAAAUAUAGAAACGUAAUUUUAUGAGUAAAACGAUGAAAAAGGAUAUGAGCCCUUGCAUGGUUGAUUAUUUUUACUUACUUUCGUGCUCUAAAAGUUUGAGUUACAAGUGCGCAACUGCUUGACUGCACUUUCUGCUAUUUAUUGAACGGAACAGGUAAUUACAGUUAACUGUUUACAGUUUACAGUUAUAGUCAUUGCGCAAACAGCCAAACACACACAUACAAUAGAACACUCAUAAGGAGCUGCUGUAAGCCACAGCUCACGCCCAGAUGCUCACACGCAGAAUAACCGGCCAACUGCACUCACUAGGCCACGCCCCUUAAAGCCACACAUACAAUAGACGAACACGACAGUCCGUGCAGUAAUUACGCUUUCACGUUCUCUUUUUAAGUUUUUGUCUAAUACACUGCUAUUGUUCUUUAAUAAAAACAAACAAAAAAAUAAUGUAAUGGCAUUUCCCUCGCAAUAGGUGAUUAUUUAUCCAUAUUUUAAAGAUGUAUGAACCUUCACACACUCCUGUCAACCUCUACCAUACUCUUAUAAACAUUUUCUACGACUCGUAAACAACUUUUACACUCUUAAACAUUCAGUAAUCCACAAUAGUACCUACCGUACACUAUGUACAUUUUAUUGUUUGUAGUAUGUGUUUUAAUGAAAUUUAUUUUUUUUUUUUUAGUUUUGACGAGGAAGUGUUUAUUUUACCACAAAGAAAUUACAGCAUGCACUCAAAAUCCCACGAUAUGGUGAAUUAUGCGCAAUAUGAAUACAAAUCUGCAUUGCAUUGAAUGCGCAAUAGGUGAAUAGCAAGGGAACACUGCAUUUUAGUGUGGCUCGAAUAGCUGUUAAUGCAGUGUCCCUCUCUAACAAGUGUUUUGAAUUAGGCAGAUUGUGUCUUAUUUUUUUUCUCUCUCUCUCGGUGCAUGUCUGUGUGAAGGUCUCCAAAGGCCUCUUAGAGUUAAACCAAAAGAUGGUGAGGGGAGAUUGUCCUCUAGCCAGUCGUGCACAAUGACGCAUAAAUCAAGGUGUCCGUUGUUUGUCACCCUUCUGUCUCGGCAGCUCCUGGCUCGGA